GCAUCGGUGGUUCAGCGGUAGAAUGCUCGCCUGCCACGCGGGCGCGGCCCGGGUUCGAUUCCUGGCCGAUGCA
RNAcentral lists this transfer RNA (73 nucleotides) under Cordylochernes scorpioides. Its description in RNAcentral is "tRNA-Gly". It matches the Rfam family "tRNA". Rfam says of the family: Transfer RNA (tRNA) molecules are approximately 80 nucleotides in length. The record is from RNAcentral. Lineage: Eukaryota; Metazoa; Arthropoda; Arachnida; Pseudoscorpiones; Chernetidae.